AACAAAAGACUCUUUACAUAAACCCAGUGCUUGUACAUCUUUCUUUUGGAAGAAGAUGAUGUAAACCCUAAACAUCAUGUGACAUGGUAAUGAAUAAUACAGCAGUGAGAGGUGGGGAUAGUCUGGGGAGCGCACAGUUAAGCUUUGAUGAGAGAGCAAGAGGAGGGUUCAUAUAUCCUUCCCAGAUUUAAAGACAAGUGGGGAACAGCGCGGCUGCUCCGUCAGAGGAGAAGAUGUGCUGGCUACCGAUAGACCAGCCUCUCCUGCGGCCGGGAGACUCCAGCUGCAGCGCGUCGCACAGACGCUCCUCGGCUUGCUCCGUUGCUCAGCUGCUCGCGUCGCGGCUGCGGAGGAUCGGGGACCAGCUGGAGAAGAGCUGGACGGCCGGGGAGACACCUGGCGACCUCGGCUGCGGGGACACAGUGAUGGUGGCGGCGGUAACCGGGCGCGGCCAUUUCAAAGGCUUCCUGUGCCUCGCGGUGCACGUCACCUUACUUGUGUUGCUCGGCGCGAGGCGACACCUGUAGGGCGCGAGGCUGCGAUUUCCGCAACAGAUUGGUGCCUUUUAAAAAUUACACAAGCAGAACAGCAAAUGGGCUUACAUCAUUUGCACUUAAAGCAAGAGAUGCAGAGGAUGGUGUGGCUGGAGAAAUGAUGUGCGCAGACUGAAGAGGACGAAAGGAUGGCCUAAACGAUUUCGUAUACCAGGAUUGAAGGCUGACUGAACUCCCACUGUGGAUGGACUUGGGAGUUUUAAACUGGCUGAAUCUGCAGUUGUCCUGCCCCCCUUCUCUCUCCCGAUUCUGUCAUCCCAUUUACAAAACAAAACAGUGAUGUAAUCCUCCCCUGGUACCAGCGGAGGGAAACGCUUACUUAUGGUACGCCUUUGAAUGUUUUCUCCUCCAGUGAUGCGAGUGCAUCAGGGACAGUUGGAAUGAAACUGAUUAGACCUGACAUACACUAUAUUGCCAAAGGUAUUUGUCUGUCUACGUUUCAUGUACACGGCCUUUGAUCACAUGCUAUUUUUAAUGUAUAAGGUCCAGUUGGUUGAUGGACCCACUGUUGCCAGCAAGGACAUCUUUUACCUAUUCUGUAAACAUCUUCCACAAGGUUUAGAAGUUUGUUCAUAGAUCAGAAACCCAGAAGUGCAGCCUCCGCUCUAAUUCAUCCCAAAGGUGUUCAAAAAGGUUGAGGCCAGGACUCUGCGCAGGCCAGUCAAGUUUCUCCACACCAAAUAUUAUACACCUGCAACCAUGGAAGUGAUUGGAACACCAGAAUUCAUUGAUGUGGUGCUGUGACCCAAUACGUUUGGCAAUAUAGUGUAUAUAGGCUGCAAUUACUGCAGGAAACCUUUAAAACAAUGCACUGAAAUACACCUAUUCUAAAGCUCCACAAUGCACUGUACUUUUUUAGAUAAGCUAAACUCUUUGUAAACAUGUAUAUAAUGGAGGAGGCUUUUAUAGGUGUUUUUUACAGUGUUUGGAUAUUGUUUACAUAUUUGUGUAUGCUUUAUUAUUAUCUGCUGAGGCUGUCUUAUGUAGCGUUUCACCAUAAACAAAAUGCUGGACCUGUUUUUUUGUAUGAAAUGAGCUCUUUUAAUGUCAAAUAUUUCUAAUGAAUUUUCAGCAAUUAUGAAAAUAAACACUGGAAAAUGUC
Molecule: long non-coding RNA, 1656 nt
Organism: Girardinichthys multiradiatus
Lineage: Eukaryota; Metazoa; Chordata; Actinopteri; Cyprinodontiformes; Goodeidae
Exons: 2
Source: RefSeq, a predicted model, not a curated record